This 333-nucleotide ribosomal RNA is filed under the name uncultured eukaryote. Its description in RNAcentral is "partial 18S ribosomal RNA". It matches the Rfam family "Eukaryotic small subunit ribosomal RNA", at positions 1470 to 1796 of the family's 1831-position model. The record is from RNAcentral.
CCCUUAGAUGUCCUGGGCUGCACGCGCGCUACACUGAUGUGUCCAGUAAGCACCUAACCUAUUCCGAGAGGAGCGGGUAACCUUAGCAAAGCACAUCGUGAUGGGGAUAGAUUAUUGCAAUUAUUAGUCUUGAACGAGGAAUUCCUAGUAAGCGCAAGUCAGCAGCUCGCGUUGAUUACGUCCCUGCCCUUUGUACACACCGCCCGUCGCUACUACCGAUUGAACGGUUUAGUGAGGGCCUCGGAUUGGUCUCGGCCCGCUCUUUACCGGGCGGCGCCGUUGGUCGAGAAGACGCUCGAACUUGAUCGUUUAGAGGAAGUAAAAGUCGUAACA